CCGGGAAUUUCAGUUAAGCCUUUUCAGAGUCUUGUGUGAUGUAGGGAUGAGGGAGCUGUGAGAAAACAGGGAUUAGGUGUGUACAGAGUUGGCUAAAAGGGAGAUAUCACUGCUUAGUGUUAGUAUGUAUCAGAGAGGAAUUCAUGAGCUGGGUGCUGUGAUGGCAGUAAAUAUAUUGGAUGGAAAUAAUUGUGGAAUGGAAGGAGCCUGGUGUAUACAGUGGAUGGGCUGUUAAUGUGCCAGAGUGGUCUGGUGAGGUAUAUCCAACAGAAAAGAGGGAAGCUUACUGUCUUGAUUCAAAGAUGUUUGUGAGAAUCCAUUUAAAUUUUGCUGGCACAGGUGCCCAGAGGCUGUUGAAUAACCAUCCUUGGAGCUGUGCAAAGCUUGACUGGAUGGGGCACUGAGCAACUUGAUCACACUUUGAACUAUAUUUAAGUGAGGAGGUAGCCUAGAUGACUUCUAGAGGUGCCUUCCACCUGAAUGAUCCCAUGCUCCAUUGGAACAAAGAAGCUCCCAGAAACCGUUCACAGCACAUGAGUGAGAAGCAGGAGGAAAGAAAGGAUAAGUCCUCAAACCCCAAAGUGCUGUUAUGUCAGACCUUUAAAACAGGAUUAUUUUAUACAUGUAGGUGGUAUGUAGGAAAGAGACUGAGCACCAGGGUGUUCUUUCCAGGCUGUAAGCCUUACAGGGAAGACAUGCAGGGACAAGACAGAAUGUCUUGCGAACUCUUAUGUUUAGGUCUCACAGCUUCGCAGCAACAACAAUCCCUUCUUAGCAUUUUUUGAUAGAGAGGAACUCAGGAAAUUAUUUAUUGGCUGUCUUUAUCACUCAUUUCCUCAGUAUAGCUUUCACAAGGUUCAGGGAAAAGCUUUGCAGGAAAGCUGAAGAUGGCCAAGUAAUGAACAAAAGAGAUGUGCUGAAGUUUGGGAAGAAUCUUAUUUUUCAGUGGAAAAAAAAGUACAUCUGAGGCAGAAAUAGGAUUAAAAAAAAAAAAAAAAAAAGGAGUGGUGGGAAAAGGAAAGAACCAAAACAGAAGCAAGGAGAAGAAGGAGAAAGAGGAGCCAGAAGUCCAGAUUUGCUAAAGAGAUUAGAAAAUUUGAUUUUUUUUGGCAGAUACACAGCCUCUCCUAAAUCAUUUAGAAAGUGAAAUGAAGUGGGGAAGAAAAAUUGACCUGUUUUUGAGCCAUGGAAUUACAGAGCUUGCAAAAGAUGGGGUAUCUAGCCACAAAACCAACAAAUUGACUCAACCUUCUCUCCCUAGCAACUCAUCUUCUCCAGUGAGCCUAAGUGGGUUGGUAGGAUUAUCUCCAGGGGAAAGAGGCAGUUGAUUCAUCAGGCCCAUCCAUACUGAGACUUUCUUGUUUAUAACUCAGUUUUCUUCCAAUGUCAUUCCACUGAAACAAAUUCAAGCAAUUUAGCUCUUUGUCCAGUAGACCUAUAUUAACAGAGAAACACAUGUGCAAGGACUGGGCUUAUAGUUUACUGAGCUCAAUAGAAAUACUAUAACUAGAUGGCCAGGAUAACAUUUUUUAAAACAGUAUUUAUUUUUAUAUUGAAGUAGCAGGCAAAAAGAUAAACAGAGAAGGGCAAAAUGGAAUAAAUUAAAAGAUAUUUUCAUGUGAGAGGAUAUCUUAUUCACUGGUUUUAUUUGUACCUGGUAGGAAAACCUCCACAUGCUUUUGGUAAUCUGUAGAUAGGGCUACAACUCUGAUGCUAAAGAGGUACACAAUGAGUUGUACGAUUUCUAGUGACUUAAGGCUCAGCUUGCCCUAGGCUAUAUACUCAAAAUGUGGUUUCACAGCACCAAUCUCAUCAGGAGGAUACCACAGUAGCAGUGCCACCCUUACAUCAUGCAUUAAAUAAGCAUCACAGAGAGCAAAAGGAUAAACAUACUGUCUGGAAGGGAGGGUAAAGGUAACAGCCCAAAUCCCAGGUUUCCCUGACUCACUGCUGCAUUGUGGCUGUGUCCUCCAGCUGUUUCCAAAUGUCCGUGUCAGAGGAAAAAGGGAAGGUGAAAGGCCAUCCCUUGAGCAGAAACCCGAUGUACCUGCUGAGAAUAAAAUAGAGAAGCCACAAGCCUUGCAGAUGGCUGAAGUGCUGAAGGCAUUUCCCAUAUUUCCAAGAAGCUUGCAAAGAGGAAAAAAGGAAUGUUAUCCCCUUACCUCCCUUCCCAAUUUCCUCAGCUCUUUGUUCUGAUUUUUCAUAGACUAAAGAUGAUUCACUGAGUAACUGACCCAAAUGUGUUCAGUGCUUCUUGAGAGCUGUGGCCAGUGUAACAGCAAGCCAUAAGGGCAAAUGCAGGAGUGAUGGCAGUGACUUCUCUCAAAGGGAGGGCAAGAGCCGUUGUUCAAAUCUUUCCAGGAUUGUGCAGGGUUCUCUCCUGCUUCCUUUUUUGUGAAGGUGACUGUGAUGAACUGGGGUGCCUCCUGUGUGUGACAAAACAGUGCUGCCCAGCUGAGUGUGGCUGCUAGCUGUAGCAAUAUUACAAUGAUUAGUCAAACCAGCAGUCUCUAGUAGAUUAACUACAGCCGUUCACUUCAUUGAACAAGCAUUGUACAGGAAUUCAGAAUGCAAACUAUACUGUCCAAACACACCUAAUGAAUUAGCAUUAAAGCUCACAUGAAAAUCCUUGAGGUCAAAUGCUAAUUUUGAAUGCCUACAUUAACUAGUUAUUUGCAUCUUCAAAAGUAUUUAACUGAUGUUUUGCAUGAACAUGUCUUUACCAAUAAUUCAAGAUGUGACAAUUUAUAUGUCUAGAGUUACAAUUAAAAGUAAGAAAACUCAGACCUGGUGGUUAACUGUAAAAUGCAGUGAACCUGAACCCAAGGGUAAUUCAUUGGCUGUUUUCUACUGAUGGUGUUUCAAUGGCCAACUUAAAGAUAUUGAUGCUUCAUCAACUGAAUGAGAAUAUGCAGAUUUUUCCCGCAUCAUACAAGCUAAGAGAGAUCCCAGCACAGCUCUAAUCAGAACAGCAGCAGAGCACAUUGCGAUUACAUAUCUGUUUUUUCUCAGCACCACCCAGAGCGAGACUCAUUACAAUUGGAUUCAUUAAAAAAACACUCUUAAUAUUUACAGCACUCUCUUAUAAUUGACCAUCAGGUGUCUGGAGUUUAAACACAUAUUCAUUAGGAUUGUGGUAGGCAUUUUGUCAUAGCUGUAAAUGUUAUGCUCCAUUCCUCCAGCUUCAGGGUUUGCUAUGAGCUGCGCUUGCUCCCUACAGCCUUUAAAAGAUACUGAGCUUUGUGAAUUUUUCCUGUUAAUAUCGACUGUAUCUCAGACAAGUGGAGUUUUAAUAAAUUCCCAAGUCUUUCAGGCUAGCAGUGGAGGUGGCACUCUCUGAAAGAAGUUACAAAAGUUAAACUUGGAAAAUAUUUAGCCUAUAUUGGAGCUUGCGGCUUGCAGGCACCAUCACAUUCCUCUCUACAGCUGUGUAUUCAGAAGUUGUUGAAAGUUAAGUUUUCUUACUUUUUUUGAUGAUUAUUUUGCAGCAAUGUAACAGGGUCAUAGACACCAGUGAAAGCUGGACAGGAUCCUCCAAGUGCUUUGGAUAUUUUUGGAAAAACAUGGUACAUGGCUGUUUCCUAUAAGUGUGACUGAUUGCUUCAUCCCAGUAUCACUUCUUCCAGCCUCCCUUUUCUCUCCUUACCACAUAUCGUGCUAUGUAACCACAGCUUCUCAGACUGAUUCUGGGGCUGUGAGCCUUUCAGCAAAGAAUGUUAUUCUGUUCAUCAUUUCCCUCGACCUAAUUUCUUUGUACGUGCAGGAGUGCCUAGCAUUAGCACUGGCUGGCCUCAUGUCACCAUUGCUGGUCUUUGCUGCUGAAGUAUUAACAUUUCUGUCCUUAUGGGUAAUUCUCACUGAGAAAAUCUGGCUGCUUCUUCUUCUUCUUGGCCAACAACAAGGGUUACUUGAAAAAUAAAUUGUGUAAAGCGUAUUCUGGUGCAAGAGGGCUGAGAAGGUGCUGGUUGCCCAGCACUGGGCAAGGAUGUGAAACUUUCCCAGUUCUCAUUUCAGCUCAGUAAUACUUGCCAGGGUUUUGACUACGUACACCAGCAGCAGAAACUUCUGAGAGAAACUGGCCUGACUCACUGCCAUCAAUUUGGCUGCUGAUGCUAUUGCUGGAUUUCCUUGCAAUCAGAGAUCACAGCCUCUAAACAGUGCAGCUUCCCAGCAAUAUGCUGUAGGAAAGAACAUAGACACUAAGCCUUUUAUAAUGUUUGGCUUAAUAGCAAUUUAUAUGAAAAACAACCGACAUACACAAGCACCCCCCCCCGAAAUAGGAUGACCUUUUCUUACAGCGGGCUGAAAGCUGUGUACUCUUUUUACAUCUCCCUGUUUGACCACUGUGCUUGUUUUUCAGUAGUGAUGGGGACUGGCUCAUCACAAUAUUUUGGCUUUUAAUCAGGUUAAAUAAUGCAGCUUUAUCCUGACUAUUUUGAUUCUCUCUAAUUAUCCUGAACAUUGCUGUAACUGUGGCAUAAGGCUGUGUUCUGAGCUACCUGUUCAUCCAUGCUUCAUGUGCUAACAGGUGUCCUGCUCGGACCGUGCUGUCUGUGUCAGGCUGUGAGGUCAGACAUGAGCUAUUUCCCACGAUCAGCUUGAUGUGCUGCAUGUACUAGCUUUUAACAGCCUGAUUCACACACCUCUUUGGCAAAAAACCCCAAAUGCAUGGCUUUCGCAAAAUGGACACUUUUUUCUCUUUAGAAGGAGAGAAAGUGAAACCCAUCAACAGUUGGUGAGUGAUAUUGGAUAAUGGGACAUAUUGCCAAACUGUCCCAUUACUAUGAGAUAAAAUAAUGUUAGAAUCACCCUUGGGCUGACUGUGGAAAAAAUAAUGACAACAGAAUAAAGUGCAUUUGCCACACAGAAUACAGUAUUAGUCAUCUAGAAGCAUGGUGCGUAUGUGCCUUUUCUGGAAGGGGAGUUCAGCACUUUUUGCAGAGAAAUGAAGGCCAAGAAUGCUACAUUUUCACACUCUGAAGAAGAGUGUGAAGAGAAGAUCACACUAACACUCUUCGACCUCUACUUAGCAUGGGUAAAAAGCUGCCCGUUCUUUGCUUUCGAGGCCCUGGGGAUGGAGGUUACAGGAAACUGAGGGCAGUAACAAAAAGACUCCACAUCGGAGAUUUUUGCAGUAAAUGUAGUGACUAAGGUCAUUGUGUUUGAAGUAGCUCUCUUGAGCAUCUUCUGGCAGUAUAUUCGUGGCAGCACAAGGUUCACUAGAAAGUGCAAAUCUUUCCUAGAAAUCUGGGGAAUUAAUUGAGUACUUAUCCUAAAUUCAGUAUUGCCAUGAUUAAUUUAAAAGCUUAGGUAUAACAGGAUAUAACUAUCUAAAAUAUCAAACUUACCUUGUUGGAUUUAAGGUCUGACUCUAGCCCUAGACCUUAUGUUUUAAAAAAAGCUGCUACAAGAGAACAGCAAUACUACACGUAGUCUUUCCUUCAGGUGAGGAAUGGAGAAACAUAUGACAACAUCCUCUUUGUGGGAAUUUACAGUUGUUCUUUGGUACUGAUAGUAUUUUGUAUCAACAUUCAUGGACAAAAUGAAGGGAUAUGAAAUGCACUGAAGACUAAACUGCAGAAGACUACAUGCAGAAAGGCUACUGAAACCAGCAGCUGUUUUUGUGUAUGGUUUAAUUUAUUUCUCUGCUACAGAGCUGGGCAAAUAGUCCUUGUGAGCAGUUCAGUUUCAUUUUCUCCAACAUAUGUAUAUAUUUUCUCCAGAAUGUACAGCUCAUUCAUCCUACAUCUCCUGGAAAGGCGGGGGAGCUCUCUGUAAGACAGCCACCAGAUACUCCCAUGCCCAUGUCCGCUCUCCAUGAGCUCUGCAGUGCCUCUGCGUCAAGAGAAGUGCAUGGGGAGCCAGGGGGGGUGGCAGUGAUGGGACAGGGAUGAAGGGGGAAGGCUGUCAAAGACAGCAGUAGAUGAAGGGCAUGGGGUUACAGUCGCAGUCUGGGGAAAUGUUAAAGCACCUGCAAGGUGGUGAGUUUCUUUGCUGUACCAAAGUUGUACUAGAUAAAUUUUUAGGACCAUUUGGUGUACAAGGAAUGUAAAAUGGUCUCUGAUAUAAUGUGGAAACAACUAUCCCCAAAUGAGUUACUUAAGUUGAAAAACUACUUAUUUUUUGGCAGUGGAAAAUUGCUUGGAUGAAAACGUAAAAAAAAAAAAAAAAAAAGUUUAGCAGCCUUUUGGAAUAUUUCACAUUUCUUAGGAAUGGCGUGGGUUUUCUGGAGCAACAGAGUAGGAUUUUUAAAAUAGCAUCAUGGAUUCCUACUAUCUUUCUAACAGCUAAUCAGUAGUUUUACACCAGGAUGAAUUCUUUUUAUCAAACGUAUAUGAGGUCCUCUUUGAUUGCUCAGUGACAACUUCCUACAAAGUCCUAAAAAUAAAGAAUAUUUCCCAAGUGUUCUGUAAAUAGCAGAACUCAUUGUUGGCCAAAAUGGUUGGAACAUUUUUCUUACCUUAUCAUAUUCAUGAAUUAUUUUUACUCUGUUACUUUGCACAAUAUCGCUACAAUAUCUGCCUAGUAAUAUUUUAGUAAGAGUCUUCGUUCUAUAAGUAUGCUUUAAACAUCUUGUGAAUCCCCUGGCUGCUAAUUUUGAUGAGCAAGAUGCACACAUCUGGCACUUAGUCUUUGUGCAAAGUCCUGCUUUGUAGUUCAGCAUUAGGUUCAGUGUUUAAUAGACCCCUAUUCUUCCUUCUGCUCCAACACAUAAAAAUCCUAUGGUGACUCUUGAAUAAGAUGCCCUGACUAAUAUACCAUAUUAAGGAGGUGGGAUAUUGUAUAUAGACAAUGAAACCUUCAGUUUAUGUUUUGAAAAAGGUUUUGUGUCCUUGUUAGUGUUUAUAUAACACUAAUAGCCAGUUUAGAUAUAUUGUAAUGAGUUUGAUCUGUAAAAGUCUCAUUAGUUGCUCUCUGACUGAGUUAAGGAAACUGGAAGCAACAGGCAGAAGAGGAGGGGCAAAUUCAGCUGUUAUUUGAGAAAGUGUAGUAACUGGUUAGUCUGGGAAAUUAUGCAGACAUCACUUUAAGAUAGACAUGACAGCUGUGAAUUGUGGUAUUUGUUACCCACGUUCUCAUGCGUUAUUAGGCUUGUUCAUCAAAUUAUAGAAUUAAUAGCUUGCACAAUCCAUGUAAUUUGUUCCUUUUAAAUUCCCUCCCUUGAAGUCUCAAUCAUAGUGUGUUCCAGUAGGUCAACAGCAGAGGGUUUUUUUCCUUCCUGGUAUUUGUCUGAAGCUUCAAAUAAUGUUGGUUUAGUCCUUACAAAUUGAAAGCAUCCAAUAGAAGUUGGACAUAUCUCUUGCCUCAAAGUUGUCAGACGACCCUGUAAAAUCCCACACAUGCACCUCCGCCGAGUGGAGGGAGAAAGCAAAAUGAGGGAAGGAGAGUCACCGCUAUACUGUACAGCUGGCUGGCAGGAGGUGCAUCAGCAGAAUGACUCUUGACACAAUCAAGUAGGACGCGGGGGGCCACGAACAAAUAAUUAGGCUUAUUUCUCCUCAGGGCUUUGUUCACUGCUGGAAAUUAUAUGCAAAAUGGAAGAAGCAGAUUAGGAAUGAGGUCUGAGGGGACACUGAAAAUUUGCUCAUACUGUAACCACCUUUGCUGAAAGAGAAAUCCCCAAGGGUUAAUUUGCUUCUGCAGAAUUGUCUCAACACUUUGAGAAAAUAAAACAAUGAAAC
Long non-coding RNA from Pezoporus occidentalis (night parrot), 7682 nucleotides. RefSeq lists it as uncharacterized. Lineage: Eukaryota; Metazoa; Chordata; Aves; Psittaciformes; Psittacidae. The transcript has 4 exons. The record is from RefSeq and is a predicted model, not a curated record.